Molecule: ribosomal RNA, 301 nt
Filed under: uncultured bacterium
Lineage: Bacteria
Description: partial 16S ribosomal RNA
Rfam family: Bacterial small subunit ribosomal RNA
Source: RNAcentral
CAGUAGCCGCGGGAAUACGGAGGGUGCAAGCGUUAAUCGGAAUUACUGGGCGUAAAGCGUGCGUAGGCGGUUCGUUAAGUCUGUUGUGAAAGCCCCGGGCUCAACCUGGGAAUGGCAAUGGAUACUGGCGAGCUAGAGCGUGUCAGAGGAUGGUGGAAUUCCCGGUGUAGCGGUGAAAUGCGUAGAGAUCGGGAGGAACAUCAGUGGCGAAGGCGGCCAUCUGGGACAACACUGACGCUGAGGCACGAAAGCGUGGGGAGCAAACAGGAUUAGAUACCCCCGUAGUCCCUGUCUCUUAUAC